RNAcentral lists this ribosomal RNA (1353 nucleotides) under uncultured bacterium. RNAcentral describes it as "16S ribosomal RNA". It matches the Rfam family "Bacterial small subunit ribosomal RNA", at positions 30 to 1381 of the family's 1533-position model. The record is from RNAcentral.
UGAACGCUGGCGGCAGGCUUAACACAUGCAAGUCGAACGAUGAUUAUCUAGCUUGCUAGAUAUGAUUAGUGGCGGACGGGUGAGUAACAUUUAGGAAUCUGCCUAGUAGUGGGGGAUAGCUCGGGGAAACUCGAAUUAAUACCGCAUACGACCUACGGGUGAAAGGGGGCGCAAGCUCUUGCUAUUAGAUGAGCCUAAAUCAGAUUAGCUAGUUGGUGGGGUAAAGGCCCACCAAGGCGACGAUCUGUAACUGGUCUGAGAGGAUGAUCAGUCACACCGGAACUGAGACACGGUCCGGACUCCUACGGGAGGCAGCAGUGGGGAAUAUUGGACAAUGGGGGCAACCCUGAUCCAGCCAUGCCGCGUGUGUGAAGAAGGCCUUUUGGUUGUAAAGCACUUUAAGCAGGGAGGAGAGGCUAAUGGUUAAUACCCAUUAGAUUAGACGUUACCUGCAGAAUAAGCACCGGCUAACUCUGUGCCAGCAGCCGCGGUAAUACAGAGGGUGCGAGCGUUAAUCGGAAUUACUGGGCGUAAAGCGAGUGUAGGUGGCUCAUUAAGUCACAUGUGAAAUCCCCGGGCUUAACCUGGGAACUGCAUGUGAUACUGGUGGUGCUAGAAUAUGUGAGAGGGAAGUAGAAUUCCAGGUGUAGCGGUGAAAUGCGUAGAGAUCUGGAGGAAUACCGAUGGCGAAGGCAGCUUCCUGGCAUAAUAUUGACACUGAGAUUCGAAAGCGUGGGUAGCAAACAGGAUUAGAUACCCUGGUAGUCCACGCCGUAAACGAUGUCUACUAGCCGUUGGGGUCCUUGAGACUUUAGUGGCGCAGUUAACGCGAUAAGUAGACCGCCUGGGGAGUACGGCCGCAAGGUUAAAACUCAAAUGAAUUGACGGGGGCCCGCACAAGCGGUGGAGCAUGUGGUUUAAUUCGAUGCAACGCGAAGAACCUUACCUGGUCUUGACAUAGUGAGAAUCCUGUAGAGAUGCGGGAGUGCCUUCGGGAAUUCACAUACAGGUGCUGCAUGGCUGUCGUCAGCUCGUGUCGUGAGAUGUUGGGUUAAGUCCCGCAACGAGCGCAACCCUUUUCCUUAUUUGCCAGCGGGUUAAGCCGGGAACUUUAAGGAUACUGCCAGUGACAAACUGGAGGAAGGCGGGGACGACGUCAAGUCAUCAUGGCCCUUACGACCAGGGCUACACACGUGCUACAAUGGUAGGUACAGAGGGUUGCUACACAGCGAUGUGAUGCUAAUCUCAAAAAGCCUAUCGUAGUCCGGAUUGGAGUCUGCAACUCGACUCCAUGAAGUCGGAAUCGCUAGUAAUCGCGGAUCAGAAUGCUGCGGUGAAUACGUUCCCGGGCCU